This 253-nucleotide ribosomal RNA is filed under the name uncultured bacterium. RNAcentral describes it as "partial 16S ribosomal RNA". It matches the Rfam family "Bacterial small subunit ribosomal RNA", at positions 524 to 776 of the family's 1533-position model. The record is from RNAcentral.
UACAGAGGUCCCAAGCGUUGUUCGGAUUCACUGGGCGUAAAGGGUGCGUAGGCGGUCGGGUAAGUCUAACGUGAAAUCUCCGGGCCUAACCCGGAAACUGCGUCGGAUACUAUUCGGCUAGAGGAAUGGAGGGGAGACUGGAAUUCUCGGUGUAGCAGUGAAAUGCGUAGAUAUCGAGAGGAGCACCAGUGGCGAAGGCGAGUCUCUGGACAUUUCCUGACGCUGAGGCACGAAAGCCAGGGGAGCAAACGGG